RNAcentral lists this ribosomal RNA (404 nucleotides) under Tetradesmus deserticola. RNAcentral's name for it is "bacterial SSU rRNA". It matches the Rfam family "Bacterial small subunit ribosomal RNA", at positions 401 to 768 of the family's 1533-position model. Lineage: Eukaryota; Viridiplantae; Chlorophyta; Chlorophyceae; Sphaeropleales; Scenedesmaceae. The record is from RNAcentral.
UUGAAAUAUUUUUGUUUGUUCUGUAACGACUAGAUUUUUGAAUGCUUUCUGAAAAGCAUUCAGAAAUUAGAACGCAAAUUUCUUUUAUUUGAAUGAAAGAAAAUGAUAUAGUCUAGAAAACUUCCGAGAAAAUGAACUCCGUGCCAGCAGCCGCGGUAAUACGGGGGGUGCAAGCGUUGUCCGGAAUGAUUGGGCGUAAAGCAUCUGUAGGUGGUUCUUAAAGUCGACUGUUAAAGCCCAGGGCUUAACUUUGGAUAAGCGGUCGAGUACUUAAGGACUUGAGUUUGGUAGGGGUAGAGGGAAUUCCUAGUGGAGCGGUGAAAUGCACAGAGAUUAGGAAGAACACCGAGGGCGAAAGCACUCUACUGGGCCAUAACUGACACUAGAGAUACAAGAUGGUCUUA